AGGAUAAUAGUUAAGUAUUAAUAUAAUAUUUAAUUUGCAUUUAAAAGUAAUUUUUUUAAAAAAUUUAUCUUU
This 72-nucleotide transfer RNA is filed under the name Melanips sp. ZJUH 20220003. RNAcentral describes it as "tRNA-Ala". Lineage: Eukaryota; Metazoa; Arthropoda; Insecta; Hymenoptera; Figitidae. The record is from RNAcentral.